CUGGCGGACAGCCUCAACAUGGGAGUUAUGGAUUGGUUUGAUCCAAUUGCUGAUUCGACUACUAGCCAUCUCGAUCUGAUUCCCCACAUGGUUUAGGGGAGAAGUUUAAAACAACAGGACUAUGGAAGGAUAUACGGUGCUACAUUGACAGUCAACUCUACGGUUUGUAGGUUGAAGUUUGCUUAACACGCUUCAACCGUCGAACUUGGUGCGGCUCAAUUGAAUAAGGAAAGCAGGGAGGUCAUGGACCUUAAAGACUUGUAUC
Helianthus annuus (common sunflower) is the source of this 265-nucleotide long non-coding RNA. RefSeq lists it as uncharacterized. NCBI's taxonomy places the organism in Eukaryota, Viridiplantae, Streptophyta, Magnoliopsida, Asterales, Asteraceae. The transcript has 4 exons. The record is from RefSeq and is a predicted model, not a curated record.